This 601-nucleotide ribosomal RNA is filed under the name Marinobacter flavimaris. Its description in RNAcentral is "bacterial SSU rRNA". It matches the Rfam family "Bacterial small subunit ribosomal RNA", at positions 68 to 667 of the family's 1533-position model. The record is from RNAcentral. Lineage: Bacteria; Pseudomonadati; Pseudomonadota; Gammaproteobacteria; Pseudomonadales; Marinobacteraceae.
UCGUAUGCUUGCUCCCCGCUGACGAGCGGCGGACGGGUGAGUAAUGCAUAGGAAACUGCCCAGUAGUGGGGGAUAGCCCGGGGAAACCCGGAUUAAUACCGCGUACGCCCUUCGGGGGAAAGCAGGGGAUCUUCGGACCUUGCGCUAUUGGAUGUGCCUAUGUCGGAUUAGCUAGUUGGUGGGGUAAAGGCCUACCAAGGCGACGAUCCGUAGCUGGUCUGAGAGGAUGAUCAGCCACAUCGGGACUGAGACACGGCCCGAACUCCUACGGGAGGCAGCAGUGGGGAAUAUUGGACAAUGGGGGCAACCCUGAUCCAGCCAUGCCGCGUGUGUGAAGAAGGCUUUCGGGUUGUAAAGCACUUUCAGUGAGGAGGAAAACUCUGCGACUAAUACUCGUAAGGCUUGACGUUACUCACAGAAGAAGCACCGGCUAACUCCGUGCCAGCAGCCGCGGUAAUACGGAGGGUGCAAGCGUUAAUCGGAAUUACUGGGCGUAAAGCGCGCGUAGGUGGUUUGGUAAGCGAGAUGUGAAAGCCCCGGGCUUAACCUGGGAACGGCAUUUCGAACUGUCAGGCUAGAGUAUGGUAGAGGGUAGUGGAAU